This 270-nucleotide ribosomal RNA is filed under the name uncultured bacterium. RNAcentral describes it as "partial 16S ribosomal RNA". It matches the Rfam family "Bacterial small subunit ribosomal RNA", at positions 29 to 324 of the family's 1533-position model. The record is from RNAcentral.
AGCGAACGCUGGCGGCAGGCUUAAUACAUGCAAGUCGAGCGCCUGUAGCAAUACAGGAGCGGCAGACGGGUGAGUAACGCGUGGGAACGUGCCCUUUGGUUCGGAACAACACAGGGAAACUUGUGCUAAUACCGGAUAAGCCCUUACGGGGAAAGAUUUAUCGCCGAAGGAUCGGCCCGCGUCUGAUUAGCUAGUUGGUGAGGUAAUGGCUCACCAAGGCGACGAUCAGUAGCUGGUCUGAGAGGAUGAUCAGCCACACUGGGACUGAGA